Heterocephalus glaber (naked mole-rat) is the source of this 1249-nucleotide non-coding RNA. The record is from RefSeq and is a predicted model, not a curated record. NCBI's taxonomy places the organism in Eukaryota, Metazoa, Chordata, Mammalia, Rodentia, Bathyergidae.
CACGACCGGAGUCAGGGUGCGGCGUAAGAAGGAAGACCCCUCAGGCAAAACCAGCAAGAGACCGGUCGCACCUGGUCCGCGACAGCUCCACCUCUCAUCCACCCCCAGCAACCGCGGGAGCAGCGGCGGUGGCGGCGGCAACAGCAAAGCAGCUUGGUUCCGGAGGACAGGGUCCUCCAGGCGCACCGAGGACGACUAACCACCCCAGGAGUGAAUCAGAGACUGAGGAAAAAGAAAGAGGGUCGAGUUAGAGUCCGCGAGAUUUUUUUUGUUCUCCCCCAGCCCCAAAUUUGGUCUUGUGUCGAACACUGUAGUCCCGCGAAGGGUGUGAGAACUCCUUUGGGUAAUCUAAGUAAAGAGACUAUCAGUUUAACCCGCUGUGUGAGGUGACCAGAACUUGGCUGAUGAAGUCAUGUGAGCUGAAGGAUUGGCUGGCAUCCCUGAAGAGGGGAGUGUCAGGGCGCUGGCACCUUCCCGGGAGCCCCCGAGCGCCCGGCUUCCAGGCUGCGGAAAACUCUUCUACUGGGGCGUCGGCGCCGCCUGACUAAGCGUGCAGUCACCAAGCAGCUGAUGAAGAGAAACGGACCUUUCACAGCCCCAGACAGCCUUCUGAAACUGAGCAACAGAAAAAAGGAAAGCUGAAAAACUGAAGUUAGAAAUUGACUCAUGAUUGCCGGCAACUUCAAAUAUGAAUUUAUAGUGUGUGUGUGACAAAAAUCAUCCACUAUCGUGGAGAAAGUGGAAGGAGCUUCUACUAGAUUUUGCGUCGCACUUGCAAAGGACUUAGUAAGGUCAUUUUGCACGUAAUUAGAAAUUAUGUAAAUUUACCUAAUUCACAACUCAGAAGUAGCAUGGAAACAAAUGCUGGUGUGGCAACAAGAAGAUUAGUAUCAUAGUAUAACAAGCCAUUAUUACAAAAGCGCGUUUAAAAUGAAGUUCCACUUCCAAAAGUGAAAAUGUCAAAGUAGCAGAUGUUUUUCAUCAUUCAAAGUAACAGAAUCAGGGAUGUAGGCAACUGUACAUUCACAUACCGUUGGUUGAGUGUAAGUUAACAACUUUCUUAAGGGAAAUAUUUGGAAGCCUGUAACAAGCUUUUAAAAAUGUGAAUACUUUUGGACUCAGCAGGUCUAUUUAUUUUUGAAAUUUAUCAUUCGAAAACAUGAGCAAAAGAUACGUGGCAGUAUCGUUUAUAAUACCAAAGUAUUGUUAACCUCUAAAAUGUCAAACAUUAAAAAUUUGGAGAAAUUGC